UUACCGGCUUGACAUGAACGAAAGUCUUUAUUGCACAGGUGUUGCAUGGCCGUCGUCAGCUCGUGUCGUGAGAUGUUUGGUUAAGUCCAUCAACGAGCGCAACCCUAUGUUAGUUGAUUCCUAACAGACUGCCCUGGUAAAGGGAGGAAGGGGGGGAUGACGUCAGGUCAGUAUUACCCUUACGCCGGGCUACAAACACGCUACAAUGGGGUACAAGGGGCACCGCGAGGGGAGCAAUCCCAAAACCGUCCCAGUUCAGAUUGCAGGCUGAAACUCGCCUGCAUGAAGCCGGAAUCGCUAGUAAUGGUAGUCAGAGAUACCGUGAAUACGUUCCCGGGUCUUGUACACACCGCCCGUCAAGCCAUGGAAGUCACAAACCGAA
RNAcentral lists this ribosomal RNA (382 nucleotides) under uncultured bacterium. RNAcentral describes it as "bacterial SSU rRNA". It matches the Rfam family "Bacterial small subunit ribosomal RNA", at positions 971 to 1425 of the family's 1533-position model. The record is from RNAcentral.